CGGCAGGCCUAACACAUGCAAGUCGAACGGUAGCACAGGAGAGCUUGCUCUCUGGGUGACGAGUGGCGGACGGGUGAGUAAUGCAUGGGGAGCUGCCCAAUCGAGGGGGAUACCAGCUGGAAACGGCUGCUAAUACCGCAUACGCCCUGAGGGGGAAAGGUGGGGACCUUCGGGCCUACCGCGAUUGGAUGCACCCAUGUGGGAUUAGCUAGUUGGUGAGGUAACGGCUCACCAAGGCGACGAUCUCUAGCUGGUCUGAGAGGAUGACCAGCCACACUGGAACUGAGACACGGUCCAGACUCCUACGGGAGGCAGCAGUGGGGAAUAUUGCACAAUGGGGGAAACCCUGAUGCAGCCAUGCCGCGUGUGUGAAGAAGGCCUUCGGGUUGUAAAGCACUUUCAGCGAGGAGGAAAGGUUGAUGCCUAAUACGCAUCAGCUGUGACGUUACUCGCAGAAGAAGCACCGGCUAACUCCGUG
RNAcentral lists this ribosomal RNA (478 nucleotides) under uncultured bacterium. Its description in RNAcentral is "bacterial SSU rRNA". It matches the Rfam family "Bacterial small subunit ribosomal RNA", at positions 40 to 507 of the family's 1533-position model. The record is from RNAcentral.